CAAAUCAAAUGGUUUACCUGGAAUAAUGGUUGCGCACUCAAUGGGAAAUGUCAUCUUUCGAUACUUUCUGGAAUGGUUACGGAAUGAGAUGCGUGAAGAAGCCUAUGCGCGUUAUGUGAAACGCGCUGAGCGACGUGCUG
This 140-nucleotide non-coding RNA is filed under the name Ditylum brightwellii. Lineage: Eukaryota; Bacillariophyta; Thalassiosirophyceae; Lithodesmiales; Lithodesmiaceae. The record is from RNAcentral.